Seriola aureovittata is the source of this 875-nucleotide long non-coding RNA. RefSeq lists it as uncharacterized. The transcript has 3 exons. The record is from RefSeq and is a predicted model, not a curated record. NCBI's taxonomy places the organism in Eukaryota, Metazoa, Chordata, Actinopteri, Carangiformes, Carangidae.
CUUCUGCUUUGGACUUCUCAGAACGAUAUUAAUAACCUGGAAUACUUUUACAAGGAAUCCUUUUGAUUUUCGUGAUCUGUGGAUCCUUACGGACUAAAGGAACACAAACCAUGGAGGAAUGGAGAGAGACUCAGAGUUCUACACGUAGAAAAGGGAGACGACUCCGAAGGACAAAGUCCGCUCACACUGGAAACGUGGAUGAGGAACAUUGCCUCCAGACAGAUCAGGGCCAGCUGAAGUGAAGCGAUGACUGAUAAACGCUGUGACAUACCUGCCAUCUGCCAACAGCACUCCCUCGCAGGCCUGUUCGCUGCUGAGGGCGGGAACGCAGGUAAAACUCGCCUCCCCUGCUCCCCUACACCACUGUCUGAAAAGUGUUGUCAGAUACUUACGUUUAGACCGUUUUGCCUUUUUAUUUUCAAGCAAUAUUUCAGUGUCACACCAGUUCCUCUUUCUGCCCAGUGAAACAGGACAAACGUUUGCAAAUGAUGUUUUGCAGGCGACUGAAAAGUAAAACGUUUUAUACCACAUCUGCAGAACUGACACGUAAACUACAGUCAACAGGAUUUUGUUUAUUGAAAUAUAUAAAGUCUUCAUACUGAAAAGACGGAAACACAUUAGGUUGUCUGACUGUUCCUUCCAAAACGACCCAGAUGACCAAUUCAGAAACUGCUCAGCUGAGCGCUGUCUAAUCUGACGCCUCCAGAGUUAAUGUAUAAAUAAAGUUGGGAAAACACUGUGGUCAUGGCUAAAAAAAACAAAGAAAAGACUAACACUGACUGGUUGGAGAUGAGAUAUAAAACCACUCUGGAGCUUCAACCAUCCAUCACCCUGACCUCCUGUUCAUGAGAUUUUGCAUUGUUACAACAACAACA